AACACCAGUGGCGAAGGCGACUUUCUGGUCUGUAACUGACGCUGAUGUGCGAAAGCGUGGGGAUCAAACAGGAUUAGAUACCCUGGUAGUCCACGCCGUAAACGAUGAGUGCUAAGUGUUAAGGGGUUUCCGCCCCUUAGUGCUGCAGCUAACGCAUUAAGCACUCCGCCUGGGGAGUACGACCGCAAGGUUGAAACUCAAAGGA
RNAcentral lists this ribosomal RNA (205 nucleotides) under Staphylococcus epidermidis. Its description in RNAcentral is "partial 16S ribosomal RNA". It matches the Rfam family "Bacterial small subunit ribosomal RNA", at positions 705 to 908 of the family's 1533-position model. Lineage: Bacteria; Bacillati; Bacillota; Bacilli; Caryophanales; Staphylococcaceae. The record is from RNAcentral.